RNAcentral lists this ribosomal RNA (253 nucleotides) under uncultured bacterium. Its description in RNAcentral is "partial 16S ribosomal RNA". It matches the Rfam family "Bacterial small subunit ribosomal RNA", at positions 524 to 776 of the family's 1533-position model. The record is from RNAcentral.
UACGGGGGGGGCAAGCGUUGUUCGGAAUUACUGGGCGUAAAGGGCUCGUAGGUGGCCAACUAAGUCAGACGUGAAAUCCCUCGGCUUAACCGGGGAACUGCGUCUGAUACUGGAUGGCUUGAGUUCGGGAGAGGGAUGCGGAAUUCCCGGUGUAGCGGUGAAAUGCGCAGAUAUCGGGAGGAACACCGGUGGCGAAGGCGGGUCUCUGGGCCGUAACUGACGCUGAGGAGCGAAAGCAUGGGGAGCGAACAGG